Molecule: long non-coding RNA, 640 nt
Organism: Peromyscus californicus insignis
Lineage: Eukaryota; Metazoa; Chordata; Mammalia; Rodentia; Cricetidae
Exons: 3
Source: RefSeq, a predicted model, not a curated record
CAGUCUGACUAAUCAGGUCAGGGGGAAAAUGAAUAGUGUUUUUCAUAGCUCAGCCAGGAAGCCUUGUUCUGCUUUGAGUUUUAAUUUAAGGACUGAGGGGAGGGAAGUGAGCAGAGAAAGAGCAGAAAGUGUCAGUAUUGUUCUUUCCAAUGACACUUAGGUAAAACUUCUACAUAAUAUAGCAUUUUUCUUGGUGUCCAACAUCUGGGAGCCUUUGCAAGUUUUCAGGAGCAUGACAUGUCGUGGUCCAGCUCUGAGUUCAUGUAUACAGCAUAAGAUCAUGUUGUCCACUGUCUUGGUGACUUCUUUGAGACACUCCACUAUAAGGCCAUGAAAGAAGCCAUGAAUGUGAGUAACCAAGAUGGUGACAGAGCAAGAUGCUGUCGGAGAGACCGAAACUUCCCAUAGGUACUCUGGCAAGUUGAGGUUGGGCUGGAUCUGGAUGAUGAGACAAGAUAGCCAUAUUAGUGACCAGAGAAAAGGUAUCCAAGGCCACAGAAGAGAAGCAUGAAGCAACCUUGGAAAGGACAAACUUGGAAGCAGAAGAGGAGAUGUGGAAGACACAGCCAUCAAGGGAAGAGUGCUUUGUGAUCAAGUGGAAGGUUGGAAGGGUCCUGGCCACUGGGUGCUUUGUGCUAUG